GCGCUCCCGUUCCGAACAUUCGGACAGGAAGAAUCCCGACCCCGUCACCCCGCCGUGGUGUAGCCGUGACACUCCUAUUUGCGCCAACAUGCGGGUGAGCGGGUCAGGCACCCAAGACGACGCCGGUCACCACCUCGCGCUUCCCUGUGGCGACCUCUCCGUCCGUCGCCGCAAACCUUGCCUCACUCCCAGGCAUCACGCCAUGCCACGCCGCCCAACAUAGCUCCCUCCGGCCGCGCUGGGCACAGACACAGAUCUUUCGAAUUGCCACAUCUAGGCUGUCGCAUCUACAGCAGUUCUCUGCUCCCGAGAUUCACUUCCGAUCCCGAUCUGCAUCGCCUCCCCCUGAUCUAUGCGCCUGUGCCAUUCUCCUUCCCCAUACUCCAUCUCUUUGCGUGCUCCUUUCCAGGUGGAGGUGGACGCAUACACGGGCGGUGGAUCCUGGGAAGGUGGAGGAAAACGUGCUGCCCAGGAACAAGGUGGCGCUCUACGAACAAUCAGCGUCCCCUCCCAUGGCUACCCACGCCCUCCACUCUGGCGUCCCUAUGGCAUGUGCAUCCCAUCCAUGUCCACGAGACAGAUCAUAUGAAUGUCAACUCUGAUCGAUGUGUUGCCAAUGGUACAAGAGCUGAAUCUCGGAGGCAGUCAUGGCGCUGCACACAACGAUGGCUUAACUGGCGAUGCAGGCGGCAUUGGGGGCACUAAACUCAAUGGUGUUGAUCUCGGCCAUUGUGGCGUUCCCAAUCCCCCCUCUGAACUGAAUGGUGAUGACUUCUAGUACUGUCUUUUUUUAAAUUUUGACUUUCCUGACAAUCCUAUCAGAGAUUGCACAUCUAAUCAGAGCACACUGUUCUCGGUGGAUGACUUUACGAAGCUGAUAAUGCACGUCGAAGUAUUGGACAUCGACCUGUCAAUGCUGAAUCAAGAGAGCAACGGCUCCGAACUAUGGCAUUGAACUGAUCUGUAAACUUUGCAUAUACGGUUUUGGUUUUUCUUCUGACUGUUGGUCAUUUCUCUCCUAACUGAGUGAGUGCCUAAUUGGGUUUGCGUGUGUAUGAUUGUACAGAACUGAACUGGUAUAUAAAGUAACUAUGUAAGCAAAGAAAGCCAUAGUGUUUGAUUUUUUUCCAUAGAGUGAGUGAUGCUUGCAAGCUAAGCUUUCCUGCUGUAUUUUGCCAUGUGUGCUAUCAAUUUUCUAUAAGUGGGAUGUACCACAUUUUUUUUCA
This is a long non-coding RNA of Sorghum bicolor (sorghum), 1226 nucleotides long. RefSeq lists it as uncharacterized. Lineage: Eukaryota; Viridiplantae; Streptophyta; Magnoliopsida; Poales; Poaceae. The transcript has 2 exons. The record is from RefSeq and is a predicted model, not a curated record.